AGCAUCAAUCUACCUAUUCUAAACCUACAUUAAAACAGAAACAAUCAAGUAUUAAAAAUUAAUAUAGAAUAACUAAAAAGAUAAAAAAUAAAAAACUCGCCUCUACACUGCAGAAGCAGAACCACAGUCACGGGCUCACGGCAGAGAAGGCGAUCCACGGCGGAGCCAAGACGGCCGGGAUGAUACAGACGGAGGCGAGGGGCGCGGAGGAAGCACAGGCGAGCAGAGGCUGGCGGCGCACAGAGGAGGCAGAGGAGCCGGCGAGAGGCCCGGAGACGAGGAGGCGACCGUAGGGUGGCGCUGAGUGAGGCACAGAGGUGAGACACCCUGAGGCUGAUAGCCGUUGUGUGUGAUGUUUCCUGUGAGAGGGAGAGAGUGCGCGAGGCUG
RNAcentral lists this long non-coding RNA (388 nucleotides) under Arachis ipaensis. RNAcentral describes it as "long non-coding RNA (AIPA_LNC001209)". Lineage: Eukaryota; Viridiplantae; Streptophyta; Magnoliopsida; Fabales; Fabaceae. The record is from RNAcentral.